Molecule: microRNA precursor, 102 nt
Filed under: Marmota monax (woodchuck)
Lineage: Eukaryota; Metazoa; Chordata; Mammalia; Rodentia; Sciuridae
Source: RNAcentral
AAUUGGAUAACUGGGUCAAUUAGUUGUUCAAUUCCAAAUUUUUAAGGAAUCUCCAUACUGCUUUCGAGAAUGGUUGUACCAAUUUGCAGUCCCACCAGCAAU